Molecule: ribosomal RNA, 1562 nt
Filed under: Triticum aestivum (bread wheat)
Lineage: Eukaryota; Viridiplantae; Streptophyta; Magnoliopsida; Poales; Poaceae
Description: partial small subunit ribosomal RNA
Source: RNAcentral
UGUGUGGUGUCGAAUCUUCGUGUUCUGUUCGUUGGUUUAGAAGAACUCCCAAAAGACGUUGACGUUACCGCAACAGGUGGUACCGUGAGAGGAGAGGCCGGGAACGGCGGUUCGUCCGGUUCUAGCGGAGGAAGUUGCACAAGCCGCUCCCGGCGUAGUGAUACGCGUUCUGCCGCCGGUUCCGGUUCGGGCGGCGAAGGUCGUCGGGCACCAUGCCGGGACUGGCGCAGGAGAUGGAGCCGGGCGAGAGGCCACUACGCGGCAGGAUGGAGUGGCCACUUAAGGGGCCUCUGAUGCCGACCCUGUGCCGGCCCGAGAGCCGACUGGGCCUCUGCAAGCGCUUCUUGUCCCUCGAGCUCCACUAGGUGACAGCCACCCGGUACGAGCCACGAGAACCGACGCAGAAGGGCCUCGAGGAGCGAGCGUUGCCGCAGUUCAAGCCACUCCGACACACCAAGUUUCGACCAAGAGUCUAGAAGUCGCUCCCACCCAACCUGAUGGAGCCGUUGGGGUCGGAGCAGGUGCGCGUCUCGUAAGAGCGAUAGACCCGGACGGUCCAGCACGAGUACCCGCGGCAGCUCCCCAUGGCGCAACGGCCACCGGGUGAGCCACUCUAGCAGCUGGGCGAGAUGGGGCCGCCAUCGAAGCUGGGGGACCCCAACCGGCUACUGGGGCUCCGCAAACGUCUCGAGUUCCACUUCCUCUAGUUCUUGCCGGCCGAGCGGUACAAGAGGUACAAACCGAAGAAGCAGGUCCGGUAGCAGUGGCCGUUCCCCGGGGAACUCUUGGAACGGCUGGUGGAGCGGCUAGGGCAGUUGUUGUUGCGGACCCGUAAGCGGUGGUUGAAGCAGGGGCCCUUCACUUAUACUCCGCUACGGACAAGCGAUACACUUAACUCUAACGGGGUUCCAUUGCCCUCACACCUCACUCGUACCCAAGUCACUUUGUUCGCGAUGAUCCCGAACCAAAGAAAACGCGGAGAUGCUAAUAAGCAUCAGUACAUUGUAAUAAACCAACCAAAUAGUUUGUUCUUACUACUAUUUGAAUGUUUCUCUUCGUUUUUGAACGUUCUAUUGCCACAUCUUCUACUGUCUUUUUUCCUGCCUAACUAUACUCGGCUUGUAUUCAAUUUUGUGGUUAAAUAGAGUGUGAUCCACUUCGGUAAGGUCGUUUUACUUUUAUUUUCUUUCUUUUGUCGAUUAAAUUAGUUUCAUUUGGUUUUCUAUAUUGUUUUCAUUUUCUUUCAAGUCUGAGUUUAUGUGCUCUUUUCCUCUGAUUACCGACGUCUGUAACGUGCGCUAAAAGGUAAUUCUCGCUUCUUUCUUAUAAAUGUACAUCAAUGUUGAAACGAACAACGUUGAAACGUUCCACGUAGAAGAAGAUAGACCUUAUUAAAAGAUGACAGGUAACAAAUUCUUUUCUAGGGAUGAUAAGUCCGUAACAUAGUAAACCAUACAAAUCCGCAAAGAGAAACAAAAGAAGAAGAAAAGUUCGAUACAUAUAUAUUCUAGAGCCUUUUAAAUGUGCUUUCGGUUAUCAAAGUUUCAGUUAAGUCUAAGAAG